AAUUAUAAUACUCAAUAUGCCAGUAUCAUCUCCAGCAUCACCAUCUGCUCACCACUGGGGACUCUCCUGGGGAGAGUUAGGAGAGUGAGAGAGGGGAGGGAGAGAGAGGGAGAGGAGAGGAAGAGAGAAGGGGAGUCUUGGAGAUGGUUUGGGGUGAGUCUGGGAUGGUCUGGAUACAUUGGGAAUGAGAGAGAGAGAGAGAGAGAGAGAGAGAGAGAGAGAGAGAGAGAGAGAGAGAGAGAGAGAGAGAGAGAGAGAGAGAGAGAGAGAGAGAGAGAGAGAGAGAGAGAGAGAGAGAGAGAGAGAGAGAGAGAGAGAGAGAGAGAGAGAGAGAGAGAGAGAGAGAGAGAGAGAGAGAGAGAGAGAGAGAGAGAGAGAGAGAGAGAGAGAGAGAGAGAGAGAGAGAGAGAGAGAGGCUGUGAAAGGCUGGAAGAGGCUGUGAGAAUUUGGGACAGUUUGGGGUGAGUCUGGAAUGGUCUGGAUACACUGGGAAUGAGAUAGAGUGAGAGAGAGGCUGUGAGUGGCUGUGAAUAGCUGGGAGAGGGUGUGAUAGGUUGUGAGAGGCUGAGAAAAGACAGUGAGAGGGUGGAGAAAAUAAUGGGAAACUGGAAAAAUGAAAAGGAGAGAUAGAAAGAGACACACAGGUAGACAGACACAC
Molecule: long non-coding RNA, 658 nt
Organism: Scylla paramamosain (green mud crab)
Lineage: Eukaryota; Metazoa; Arthropoda; Malacostraca; Decapoda; Portunidae
Exons: 2
Source: RefSeq, a predicted model, not a curated record